CCAGUGGCAUUGCCGGGUAGCUAUGUACGGACGGGAUAACCGCUGAAAGCAUCUAAGCGGGAAGCCCCUCCCAAGAUGAGGUCUCCCUGGGCACUUGAUGCCCCUGAAGGUCCGUCGAAGACCACGACGUUGAUAGGCAGGAUGUGGAAGCGCGGUAACGUGUGAAGCUAACCUGUACUAAUUGACCGUGCGGCUUGACCAU
Molecule: ribosomal RNA, 202 nt
Filed under: Marichromatium gracile
Lineage: Bacteria; Pseudomonadati; Pseudomonadota; Gammaproteobacteria; Chromatiales; Chromatiaceae
Description: partial 23S ribosomal RNA
Rfam family: Bacterial large subunit ribosomal RNA
Source: RNAcentral